This is a long non-coding RNA of Bombyx mori (domestic silkworm), 1972 nucleotides long. RefSeq lists it as uncharacterized. NCBI's taxonomy places the organism in Eukaryota, Metazoa, Arthropoda, Insecta, Lepidoptera, Bombycidae. The record is from RefSeq and is a predicted model, not a curated record. The transcript is spliced from 3 exons.
CGUGGCGUCGACUGAAUUGAACCAGUGAACCUCUACACACUGCAUCGCGACAGACCGUCGCCUUGGGUCAUACUCGCUUCCCAAGCCGGAGUGCGUCACUACUCAAUACACACACAUCACAAUAUCAUAAAAUGCACACUAAAUAUUGACGCUCUCUACUUAGCAUGCAGUUCGGGUAUAACGCUUGUCCUGUCACGGUCAAUCGUCCCUUAAACUUAAGGACAAUAUUUUUUCAUCAUUAAAUACGUUUUGCUUUGGGUAUUAACUGUAACAAACAAUUAUGUAGAUACAUUUUCAAUCUGUUUUUAUUUUCAAUCAGGAAGCUUUUUAGCGUGUUUACGUAAUCUCAUAUCCGUUUGAAAAAUAGCAAAAUAGGCGGUAGCCCCUAGGCCUUUCCAGCUUUACGAGGACGGGUGGGAGAGCAAAGGAUCAGCGAAGCCUAGCUACUGCCUGCCGAAGAAGGCCUAACAUUUGAAGGGCAGCUUCGCAAACGCAUCCACUACCAAACCAUGAUUACUACCCACUGAGAAAAACUAGCGAGAAACUCAGAAGGCUAAUGUAAUGAACUAGGUGUCACGUUGAACUCUCAUCGAAGCGUUCGACGAGAACGGUGAACCGUGGAUAUAACAGUUUCGCGAAUCUCUUAAAUUAUUUAUUUAUUUAAAGAAUGACAUUAACUAAUACAUAAACAAGAAUACACAAUUUAGUCUUCCUUUGAAUACAUGACAAUUAAUUUGGAAUUCGCUUACUUUUUAACAAUAAUGUAUGGAGUGUAAUUAUGUUUUUUCACGGCCUUUAACAUUACUCUAACAAUAGUACAGUUUUCCCGCGUCUAUUACGUUAUAUUAUACAAGAUCAUCAAUGAGAAUCAAUGUACCUAUAACCUCCACUCAUGCCUGUGUAGCUAGAAAGUGGUUUUUUCGAAGACUUCCUAGGAAGAAAGGUCUACUUCUAAAAGCAUGACUUUAAUAAUUUUACUAAUUUUGAAAUUUGGAACUGGAUUUGAAUUCUUAGGCAAAUAAAUUUCUGUAUUGGUUUUUUUAAUCUUCUGAAUGUUUUCUUUUAACUUUGUUAAGCUUUGUAAUUAGAUCGCCAGUCCCUGAACUUUAUACUUCUUUGUAGAUGAAAUGAAAACUUUUCUUCUUUUUUGGUAAACACUACGUAGGACUUUCAAGCGCACGUCUGCAAAUUGAAUAAUUUACUAAACACCCAAUGGUUUUUCUUGGGUGUCCCAUGGUUUUUAUUGGUCAGACUUAGAAUUCCAGGAGUGACCUACGCAUACUGGUACCCCAGACAAGUUUCUAAAUAUACACUAGCUAAUCAGUAGAAUACACGUUUCGGUAAUUUUACGCAAUUUUUGUUCAUUUAAAUAAAGUUUUUUUUUUAUUCUAAAUUUCUUUUCCACUUAAUUCAAGUAUCUAAAUGUUUAUUAAGCAAAUAGCUUUGUUUGAUGUUAUACCUAACGUUAUAUAAUUUCAACACUUUCAUUUAACUGAGUUUCUAUUAACUAAUAAGUUAUAUAAUAUUGGCCGAAACAUACCAUUCACAGAUUUGCCACAAGCUACGUCAUUAUUUAUUUGACGGUAAACGCCUGCUGUCGGAGCUAGGUUGCUACACGAAGUUCCACAUUGAGGUGAUCGCCGUGAGCGUCCGCGUCGGUCGGUGGAGUCUGGACGAUCGUCAUGUUAACAUUUAUAAGUCGGCAGUGUGUAUCUCCGAUAUGGAGAAAACAUGUCCAGCUGAUUUCGCAAUGCCGACUAGUACAGUCGUCGAUCACCUGAUUUCUCGUUUGUAACUUGAGAUUUUAUUGGAACAUAUUGGUUCGUAUCAUAUUGAUAUACCCAUGUCAAAUAAGCUCUUUUAAAUCAUGUCUGAAUGUCAAAAGUAACUUGCUCGUCGACGUAAUAAAAACAUUUAAACGUUUUCUUAAUACGCAUAAAGCUUUCCUGUCGAAUUACACUUUUUUCUCAAA